ACAAAGUACAUCAGAAUUAACUUCAUCCGCAACAGAAAUAUCAUCAUCCACUGUAGAGCAAACAACAAGCCAGCAUGCUCAAACAACUGUGUUUAGUUCUACCACAGAAACAGAACCUACAACGACAGCUCAAUCAACAUUUACAACAGCUAUGUCCCCUAUGACCACGACCACUAUUGAAUCAUCUACAAGUGAAAGAACUUCAACACUGGAAACUACAUCAUCCUCAACAGGAACGUCUCCAUCUUCACCUUCUACUGCAACAGAUGGACAAAGUACAUCAGAAUUGAUUUCAUCAACAACAGAAAUGUCUACUUCUAGUGAAGAGCAAACAGCAAGCCAGGGGACACAAACCUCUAUGUUUACUUCUACCAGAGAAACAGAACCUACAAAGACAGCUCAAUCAACAUUUGCAUCAGCUGUUUCUCCUACGAGUAUGUCCACAUUAGAAUCAGGUACAAGUGAAAGUGGAUCAACAUUGCAAACUACUCUGUACACAACAGGUACUUCUACAUCUUCACCAUCUACUUCAACGGAAGGACAAAGUACAUCAGAAUUAACUUCAUCGGCAACAGAAAUAUAUUCAUCGACUGUAGAGCAAACAACAAGCCAGCAGGCUCAAACAACUGUGUUUAGUUCUACCACAGAAACAGAACCUAUAAUGACAGCUCAAUCAACAUUUACAACAGCUAUGUCCCCUUUGACCACAACCACUAUUGAAUCAUCUACAAGUGAAAGAAGUUCAACACUGGAAACUACAUCAUCCUCAAGAGGAAUGUCUCCAUCUUCACCUUCUGCUGCAACAGACGGACAA
Molecule: long non-coding RNA, 814 nt
Organism: Cyprinus carpio carpio
Lineage: Eukaryota; Metazoa; Chordata; Actinopteri; Cypriniformes; Cyprinidae
Source: Ensembl